GGACCAAGGAGUCUAGCAUGUGCGCGAGUCAUUGGGACACGACUAAACCUAAAGGCGCAAUGAAAGUGAAAGUCCGCCUUGCGCGGACCUAGGGAGGAUGGGCGGUCGUUACGGCUACCGCCCCGCACUCCCGGGGCGUCUCGUUCUCAUUGCGAGAAGAGGCGCACCAAGAGCGUACACGCUGGGACCCGAAAGAUGGUGAACUAUGCCUGGUCAGGACGAAGUCAGGGGAAACCCUGAUGGAGGUCCGUAGCGAUUCUGACGUGCAAAUCGAUCGUCGGAACUGGGUAUAGGGGCGAAAGACUAAUCGAACCAUCUAGUAGCUGGUUCCCUCCGAAGUUUCCCUCAGGAUAGCUGGCGCUCGUUGCGUACGAGUUUCAUCCGGUAAAGCGAAUGAUUAGAGGCAUUGGGGUCGAAACGGCCUCAACCUAUUCUCAAACUUUAAAUGGGUGAGAUCUCCGGCUUGCUCGAACUCAUUUUUAAAAUGAAGCCGCGAGACUCGAAUCAGAGUGCCAAGUGGGCCAUUUUUGGUAAGCAGAACUGGCGCUGUGGGAUGAACCAAACGCCGAGUUAAAGCGCCUAAAUCGACGCUUAUGGGAUACCAUGAAAGGCGUUGGUAACUUAAGACAUCAGGACGGUGGCCAUGGAAGUCGGA
This 655-nucleotide ribosomal RNA is filed under the name Dailognatha quadricollis. Its description in RNAcentral is "eukaryotic LSU rRNA". It matches the Rfam family "Eukaryotic large subunit ribosomal RNA", at positions 663 to 1265 of the family's 3401-position model. Lineage: Eukaryota; Metazoa; Arthropoda; Insecta; Coleoptera; Tenebrionidae. The record is from RNAcentral.